AACGCACAUUGCGCCCCUUGGUAUUCCGAGGGGCAUGCCUGUUCGAGCGUCAUUACAACCCUCAAGCACUGCUUGGUAUUGGGCUCCGCUGGUUUCAGCGGGCCUUAAAGUCAGUGGCAGCGCCGUCUGAGCUCUGAGCGUAGUAAAUCUCCUCGCUAUAGAGACCAGGUGGUCCCUCGCCAUCAACCCCCCCAACCUCCUAAGUUUGACCUCGGAUCAGGUAGGGAUACCCGCUGAACUUAA
This 243-nucleotide unclassified non-coding RNA is filed under the name uncultured fungus. RNAcentral describes it as "sequence contains ITS2". The stretch from base 1 to 52 matches the Rfam family "5.8S ribosomal RNA", at positions 103 to 154 of the family's 154-position model. Lineage: Eukaryota; Fungi. The record is from RNAcentral.